Long non-coding RNA from Triticum aestivum (bread wheat), 400 nucleotides. RefSeq lists it as uncharacterized. The transcript has 2 exons. NCBI's taxonomy places the organism in Eukaryota, Viridiplantae, Streptophyta, Magnoliopsida, Poales, Poaceae. The record is from RefSeq and is a predicted model, not a curated record.
CCGUGCUAUCGGUGUUUAUAUUCCCUUGAGGUUCGGCAAUAAAGAAACUUAUCACUCCAUCCAUGGAUGUCCGGCUUGUUGUUCUCCGUUUCCUCCUCCUAGUACUUGUGCUACAUCCAAAUCCUGCUGCCAUGGCCGAGUAUUGCGGGAAAGGAGCUUAUAGGCAGCCAUUUUGUUUCGACGCUUGGUGCAAAGGGCUUUGCUGGACGAAGGCGGCUCUCAUCGAGGGCGGCCAUGUCAAAGAUGCCUGGUGUUACAAAACACCAUUGGAUGCCAUUUGUGUUUGUUUGUUCUGCAGCAAAUGAUUAAUUAAUCUCAACAACAAAAAUAAAGGGUUUCUGCUAAAUGAAGUACUUGCUGCUUUUUCUCUCUGAAAAUGAGAAUCAGCCACCCAAACUGA